GCGGCGUGCUUAACACAUGCAAGUCGAACGGAAAGGCCCUGCUUUUGUGGGGUGCUCGAGUGGCGAACGGGUGAGUAACACGUGAGUAACCUGCCCUUGACUUUGGGAUAACUUCAGGAAACUGGGGCUAAUACCGGAUAGGAGCUCCUGCUGCAUGGUGGGGGUUGGAAAGUUUCGGCGGUUGGGGAUGGACUCGCGGCUUAUCAGCUUGUUGGUGGGGUAGUGGCUUACCAAGGCUUUGACGGGUAGCCGGCCUGAGAGGGUGACCGGCCACAUUGGGGCUGAGAUACGGCCCAGACUCCUACGGGAGGCAGCAGUGGGGAAUAUUGCACAAUGGGCGGAAGCCUGAUGCAGUAACGCCGCGUGCGGGAUGACGGCCUUCGGGUUGUAAACCGCUUUCGCCUGUGACGAAGCGUGAGUGACGGUAAUGGGUAAAGAAGCACCGGCUAACUACGUGCCAGCAGCCGCGGUGAUACGUAGGGUGCGAGCGUUGUCCGGAUUUAUUGGGCGUAAAGGGCUCGUAGGUGGUUGAUCGCGUCGGAAGUGUAAUCUUGGGGCUUAACCCUGAGCGUGCUUUCGAUACGGGUUGACUUGAGGAAGGUAGGGGAGAAUGGAAUUCCUGGUGGGGCGGUGGAAUGCGCAGAUAUCAGGAGGAACACCAGUGGCGAAGGCGGUUCUCUGGGCCUUUCCUGACGCUGAGGAGCGAAAGCGUGGGGAGCGAACAGGCUUAGAUACCCUGGUAGUCCACGCUGUAAACGGUGGGUACUAGGUGUGGGGUCCAUUCCACGGGUUCCGUGCCGUAGCUAACGCUUUAAGUACCCCGCCUGGGGAGUACGGCCGCAAGGCUAAAACUCAAAGGAAUUGACGGGGCCCCGCACAAGCGGCGGAGCAUGCGGAUUAAUUCGAUGCAACGCGUAGAACCUUACCUGGGUUUGACAUGGAUCGGGAGUGCUCAGAGAUGGGUGUGCCUCUUUUGGGGUCGGUUCACAGGUGGUGCAUGGCUGUCGUCAGCUCGUGUCGUGAGAUGUUGGGUUAAGUCCCGCAACGAGCGCAACCCUUGUUCACUGUUGCCAGCACGUUAUGGUGGGGACUCAGUGGAGACCGCCGGGGUCAACUCGGAGGAAGGUGGGGAUGACGUCAAGUCAUCAUGCCCCCUAUGUCCAGGGCUUCACGCAUGCUACAAUGGCUGGUACAGAGAGUGGCGAGCCUGUGAGGGUGAGCGAAUCUCGGAAAGCCGGUCUCAGUUCGGAUUGGGGUCUGCAACUCGACCUCAUGAAGUCGGAGUCGCUAGUAAUCGCAGAUCAGCAACGCUGCGGUGAAUACGUUCCCGGGGCUUGUACACACCGCCCGUCAAGUCAUGAAAGUUGGUAACACCCGAAGCCGGUGGCCUAACCGUUGUGGGGGAGCCGUCGAAGGUGGGACUGGUGAUUAGGACUAAGUCAUAACAA
This 1448-nucleotide ribosomal RNA is filed under the name uncultured organism. Its description in RNAcentral is "16S ribosomal RNA". It matches the Rfam family "Bacterial small subunit ribosomal RNA". The record is from RNAcentral.